CUCGUAGGCGGUUUGUCGCGUCGGGAGUGAAAUCCACUGGCCUAACUGGUGGCUUGCUUUCGAUACGGGCAGACUGGAGGUAUGCAGGGGAGAACGGAAUUCCUGGUGUAGCGGUGAAAUGCGCAGAUAUCAGGAGGAACACCGGUGGCGAAGGCGGUUCUCUGGGCAUGUCCUGACGCUGAGGAGCGAAAGUGUGGGGAGCGAACA
RNAcentral lists this ribosomal RNA (207 nucleotides) under uncultured bacterium. RNAcentral describes it as "partial 16S ribosomal RNA". It matches the Rfam family "Bacterial small subunit ribosomal RNA", at positions 568 to 774 of the family's 1533-position model. The record is from RNAcentral.